AACGAACGCUGGCGGCAUGCCUAACACAUGCAAGUCGAACGAGACCUUCGGGUCUAGUGGCGCACGGGUGCGUAACGCGUGGGAAUCUACCCUUGGGUUCGGAAUAACUCAGAGAAAUUUGAGCUAAUACCGGAUGAUGUCGCAGGACCAAAGAUUUAUCGCCCAAGGAUGAGCCCGCGUAGGAUUAGCUUGUUGGUGAGGUAAAAGCUCACCAAGGCGACGAUCCUUAGCUGGUCUGAGAGGAUGAUCAGCCACACUGGGACUGAGACACGGCCCAGACUCCUACGGGAGGCAGCAGUGGGGAAUAUUGGACAAUGGGCGGAAAGACCUGAUCCAGCAAUGCCGCGUGUGUG
This 353-nucleotide ribosomal RNA is filed under the name uncultured bacterium. Its description in RNAcentral is "bacterial SSU rRNA". It matches the Rfam family "Bacterial small subunit ribosomal RNA", at positions 29 to 407 of the family's 1533-position model. The record is from RNAcentral.